Sarcophilus harrisii (Tasmanian devil) is the source of this 460-nucleotide long non-coding RNA. RefSeq lists it as uncharacterized. The record is from RefSeq and is a predicted model, not a curated record. The transcript is spliced from 3 exons. NCBI's taxonomy places the organism in Eukaryota, Metazoa, Chordata, Mammalia, Dasyuromorphia, Dasyuridae.
UAGUAAAAGAUGGUGUGAAGAAGGAUUUCAAGAGUACCAACUAACCUUUGACCCAUGACAAAGAACCUCAGCACAGGGCAUGAGAACAGAUCAAAGGCAGCAGCAGUCCAUCUCCUGCUUCCAUGUCUCCUUCUGGAAUGUUCUCUCUCCUCAGUGCUAUCUCUUGGAAUGUCUAGCUCACUUCAAGGCUCAGUUCAAUCAGUGCCUUCUAAGAGAAAAAGACAAAUGGAAUCAGAAUGAAAAGAGCCAAUUGGCUUGAUUCCCAGGGGCAGCCAGAAGCUUUUAUAACACAGGACCUAUAAUGCCAAGUUUAAUAUUCUCCCAUAAUUCUCUGAACUGAAAAAUAUUGGGGAAACAUAGAGAUAGGAAGAGGACUGGAGACACUGAGAUCUCUUGAGGGAAAGAGAGACAGAUAGAUAGAAAGACAACUGGAGACAAUGGUAGGGAAAUGAAAAGACAA